UAAAUUGAAUAUGCUGCUGGAUGUUGUGUUGGUCUGUUGUAAAUGCAGGUUGUUCAUGAUGGUGGUCGUGAGGCCCAUACAAGUCUGCAGCAGGUCAUGGUGGUAUGGAUGAGCAAACAUGGCUAAGUAAAGGGUUGGACCUGGAACGGCAUAACAGUGGAAUUUUUGAAGUCACAAAAGUCAAACCAAGGAUCAAAAUAGGGCUGAGACAUAGGGUUAGGAUCAGAGAUUAUGGACUUAGGAUUUUUUGGGAUGGGGUUGACUUUGGUCAAAGUUGACCAAAAAGUCAACCGUUGACCAAAGUCAACCUUGGUCAACACCUCACAUUUUGUGUUUAUUUUGUUCUUCUUUUUUUUUGUAAUGAAUAUUUUAUCCUUUGUAAUGGAAAUUGAUAUUCAUGAAUGGAGUGAGCUUGGAUA
Molecule: long non-coding RNA, 419 nt
Organism: Lathyrus oleraceus (garden pea)
Lineage: Eukaryota; Viridiplantae; Streptophyta; Magnoliopsida; Fabales; Fabaceae
Exons: 2
Source: RefSeq, a predicted model, not a curated record